AUUGAACGCUGGCGGCAUGCUUUACACAUGCAAGUCGAACGGCAGCACGGGCUUCGGCCUGGUGGCGAGUGGCGAACGGGUGAGUAAUAUAUCGGAACGUACCCAGAAGUGGGGGAUAACGUAGCGAAAGUUACGCUAAUACCGCAUACGAUCUACGGAUGAAAGUGGGGGACCUUCGGGCCUCAUGCUUUUGGAGCGGCCGAUAUCUGAUUAGCUAGUUGGUGAGGUAAAGGCUCACCAAGGCGACGAUCAGUAGCUGGUCUGAGAGGACGACCAGCCACACUGGAACUGAGACACGGUCCAGACUCCUACGGGAGGCAGCAGUGGGGAAUUUUGGACAAUGGGCGCAAGCCUGAUCCAGCAAUGCCGCGUGAGUGAAGAAGGCCUUCGGGUUGUAAAGCUCUUUUGUCAGGGAAGAAACGGUAGGGGCUAAUAUCCUUUGCUAAUGACGGUACCUGAAGAAUAAGCACCGGCUAACUACGUGCCAGCCGCCGCCGUAA
This 500-nucleotide ribosomal RNA is filed under the name uncultured bacterium. Its description in RNAcentral is "partial 16S ribosomal RNA". It matches the Rfam family "Bacterial small subunit ribosomal RNA", at positions 30 to 523 of the family's 1533-position model. The record is from RNAcentral.